Molecule: ribosomal RNA, 2748 nt
Filed under: Rhodospirillaceae bacterium
Lineage: Bacteria; Pseudomonadati; Pseudomonadota; Alphaproteobacteria; Rhodospirillales; Rhodospirillaceae
Description: bacterial LSU rRNA
Rfam family: Bacterial large subunit ribosomal RNA
Source: RNAcentral
GGGUUCUUAAGUGCGAAAAGGGCAUCUGGUGGAUGCCUUGGCGACACAAGGCGAUGAAGGACGUGGCACUCUGCGAUAAGGUCCGGGGAGGCGAGAGCACCCUUUGAUCCGGACAUUUCCGAAUGGGGAAACCCACCCGUAAGGGUAUCUGCAUCUGAAUACAUAGGGUGCGGAAGCGAACCCAGGGAACUGAAACAUCUCAGUACCUGGAGGAAAGGACAUCAACCGAGACUCCGCUAGUAGUGGCGAGCGAACGCGGACCAGCCCAGUGAUCAAUUAGCUUAUACCGGAACCGUCUGGAAAGUCGGGCCAUAGUGGGUGAUAGCCCCGUACGGGAAAGACGCUGAUUGAUCCUCGAGUAGGACGGGACACGUGAAAUCCUGUCUGAACAUGGGGGGACCACCCUCCAAGGCUAAGUACUCUGUGUCGACCGAUAGUGCACCAGUACCGUGAGGGAAAGGUGAAAAGCACCCCGAUAAGGGGAGUGAAAUAGUACCUGAAACCGGAUGUCUACAAGCAGUCGGAGCCUCCUUGAGGGGCGACGGCGUACCUUUUGCAUAAUGGGUCAGCGAGUUGGUGUUGCAUGCAAGCUUAAGCCGUUAGGUGUAGGCGAAGCGAAAGCGAGUCUUAAAAGGGCGUCUAGUAUGCAGUAUCAGACCCGAAACCGGGUGAUCUAGUCAUGGGCAGGUUGAAGGUGAGGUAACAUUCACUGGAGGACCGAACUCACUACCGUUGAAAAGGUAUGGGAUGACCUGUGAUUAGGGGUGAAAGGCCAAUCAAACUCGGAAAUAGCUGGUUCUCCGCGAAAGCUAUUUAGGUAGCGCGUCAUGCGAAUACCUACGGGGGUAGAGCACUGGAUGGGCUAGGGGGGCGCGAGUCUUACCAAACCUAACCAAACUCCGAAUACCGUAGAGUAAUACAUGGCAGACAGGCGGCGGGUGCUAAGGUCCGUCGCCAAAAGGGAAACAGCCCAGACCGCCAGCUAAGGUCCCUAAAUCUUGGCUAAGUUGGAAAGGAUGUGGGAAGGCCAUAACAACCAGGAGGUUGGCUUAGAAGCAGCCAUCCUUUAAAGAAAGCGUAACAGCUCACUGGUCUAAUUAAGCCGUCCUGCGCCGAAGAUGUAUCGGGGAUUAAGCCAAGUACCGAAGCUGCGGGUGUCAUAACUUCGGUUAUGACGCGGUAGCGGAGCGUUCCGUAAGCCUGCGAAGGUGUACCGUUAGGUAUGCUGGAGGUAUCGGAAGUGACUAUGCUGACAUGAGUAGCGACAAAGAGUGUGAGAAACACUCUCGCCGAAAAUCCAAGGGUUCCUGCGCAAGGCUAAUCCGCGCAGGGUGAGCCGGCUCCUAAGGUGAGGCCGACAGGCGUAAUCGAUGGGAACCAGGUUAAUAUUCCUGGGCCAGCUGGAUGUGACGUCCUUCGUAAAUUGUUCCCGCUUAUCGGAUUGCGGGGGCUGUGAAGAGGGACCAGGAAAUAGCACCAGCAUGUGACCGUACCCUAAACCGACACAGGUGGAUUGGUAGAGUAUACCUAGGCGCUUGAGAGAACUAUGUUGAAGGAACUAGGCAAUUUGCCCGCGUAACUUCGGGAUAAGCGGGCCUCUAUGGUGCGCAAGCAUUGUAGAGGGGCACAAACCAGGGGGUAGCGACUGUUUAUUAAAAACACAGGGCUCUGCGAAGUGGCAACACGACGUAUAGGGUCUGACGCCUGCCCGGUGCCGGAAGGUUAAGAGGAGGGGUGCAAGCUCCGAAUCGAAGCCCCGGUAAACGGCGGCCGUAACUAUAACGGUCCUAAGGUAGCGAAAUUCCUUGUCGGGUAAGUUCCGACCUGCACGAAUGGCGUAACGACUUCCCCAGUGUCUCCAACAUAGACUCAGCGAAAUUGAAUUCUCCGUGAAGAUGCGGAGUACCCGCGGCCAGACGGAAAGACCCCGUGCACCUUUACUAUAGUUUUGCAUUGGUACUAGGCAUUGGAUGUGUAGGAUAGGUCGGAGGCUUUGAAGCAGUGGCGCUAGCUAUUGUGGAGCCAACGUUGAAAUACGACCCUUUUGGUGACUGGUAUCUAACCGCGUCCCGUUAACCGGGACCGGGACACUGCAUGAUGGGUAGUUUGACUGGGGCGGUCGCCUCCGAAAGAGUAACGGAGGCGCGCGAUGGUGGGCUCAAGCCGGUCGGAAAUCGGCUGUUGAGUGCAAGAGCAUAAGCCCGCCUGACUGCGAGACCGACGGGUCGAGCAGAGACGAAAGUCGGUUCUAGUGAUCCGGUGGUUCUAAGUGGAAGGGCCAUCGCUCAACGGAUAAAAGGUACGCCGGGGAUAACAGGCUGAUACCCCCCAAGAGUCCACAUCGACGGGGGUGUUUGGCACCUCGAUGUCGACUCAUCACAUCCUGGGGCUGGAGCAGGUCCCAAGGGUUUGGCUGUUCGCCAAUUAAAGUGGUACGUGAGUUGGGUUUAGAACGUCGUGAGACAGUUCGGUCCCUAUCUACCGUGGGUGUUGGAAGCUUGAGAGGAUCUGUCCCUAGUACGAGAGGACCGGGAUGGACGUACCUCUGGUGUACCAGUUGUUCCGCCAGGAGCAUCGCUGGGUAGCUAUGUACGGACGGGAUAACCGCUGAAUGCAUCUAAGCGGGAAACCCACCUCAAAACCAGGCUUCCCUGAGAAUCGUGAUAGACCAUCACGUUGAUAGGCCGGGUGUGGAAGCGCAGCAAUGCGUGCAGCUAACCGGUACUAAUUAUUCGAUAGACUUGAGAG